GCAACAUUUACGCUAAAGAAAACAAGUGGGCCAGAGAGCGCUGGGUGGGUUUAUGCUUCAGUUUCAACAUUGGCUUUGCUCUCAUAAAAAAUUGGGUGGGGGAAAAUGUGACGCCCAGUCAGCGUCAGGGAGCCACAGGCUGAGGACAUGACAAUGGCGGCGGACGCUCGCCUCGCCUGAGCUGAGGAAAGAAAGCGGGAGCUGCGUGACAAACUCCUCAGCCCGGCUGACUCCAGAAAGGAAACCAUGAAUCCAGAAGAAGUAAGACAACACCUAAAUGACAGCACAUCCAAUGACAAGUUGUACUCCACGCUCCCAAAGUCACGCGACAUCUUAGCCGCAACUCUAUCGCAACGAUUGAUGGGCUGUGAAGAAAACUGUGGGAUGAAAUAUGUGGGACAAUUUAAAUAAAAAAGAACCAAUAUUUCCCCAUAUUUUAUCUUUGUUUGCAUCCUCUCUGCAUGCUGGGGCAGUGCAUUGAGCAGUUAACAGGUUUUGCAAUGUUUCCACCAAAAAUAGAACACCCGAACACCAAUUCUUCUAACUAUUCACUGUGAAACCAAUUAUCUAUUAUGAAUCUAUUAUGACACUUUGGGGGUUUUCUCAUCCGUCCUGAGCGAAAGAGAAAAUCCCCCAUAGAGGUAAAGUACGACGCAGAUAUUCCUUAUUAUGAUUGAUGAAUACCACUCAGGUUUCAUUUUGUUUUCACAGUCACGGGUGGACUCGGUUUGAGACCAUCAUUUCCG
This is a long non-coding RNA of Gasterosteus aculeatus aculeatus (three-spined stickleback), 746 nucleotides long. The record is from Ensembl. NCBI's taxonomy places the organism in Eukaryota, Metazoa, Chordata, Actinopteri, Perciformes, Gasterosteidae.